UGGGGAAUUUUGGACAAUGGGCGAAAGCCUGAUCCAGCAAUGCCGCGUGUGUGAAGAAGGCCUUCGGGUUGUAAAGCACUUUUGUCCGGAAAGAAAUCCUUGGCUCUAAUACAGUCGGGGGAUGACGGUACCGGAAGAAUAAGCACCGGCUAACUACGUGCCAGCAGCCGCGGUAAUACGUAGGGUGCAAGCGUUAAUCGGAAUUACUGGGCGUAAAGCGUGCGCAGGCGGUUUGCUAAGACCGAUGUGAAAUCCCCGGGCUCAACCUGGGAACUGCAUUGGUGACUGGCAGGCUAGAGUAUGGCAGAGGGGGGUAGAAUUCCACGUGUAGCAGUGAAAUGCGUAGAGAUGUGGAGGAAUACCGAUGGCGAAGGCAGCCCCCUGGGCCAAAUACUGACGCUCAUGCACGAAAGCGUGGGGAGCAAAACAGGAUUAGAUACCCUGGUAGUCCACGCCCUAAAACGAUGUCAACUAGUUGUUGGGGAUUCAUUUCCUUAGUAACGUAGCUAACGCGUGAAGUUGACCGCCUGGGGAGUACGGUCGCAAAGAUUAAAACUCAAAUGAAUUGACGGGGUCAUAGCUGUUUCCU
Molecule: ribosomal RNA, 589 nt
Filed under: uncultured bacterium
Lineage: Bacteria
Description: partial 16S ribosomal RNA
Rfam family: Bacterial small subunit ribosomal RNA
Source: RNAcentral